RNAcentral lists this unclassified non-coding RNA (348 nucleotides) under soil metagenome. RNAcentral's name for it is "partial contains 5.8S ribosomal RNA, internal transcribed spacer 2, and large subunit ribosomal RNA". The stretch from base 1 to 120 matches the Rfam family "5.8S ribosomal RNA", at positions 35 to 154 of the family's 154-position model. The record is from RNAcentral.
GAUGAAGAACGCAGCGAAAUGCGAUAAGUAAUGUGAAUUGCAGAAUUCAGUGAAUCAUCGAAUCUUUGAACGCACAUUGCGCCCGCCAGUAUUCUGGCGGGCAUGCCUGUCUGAGCGUCAUUUCAACCCUCAUGCCCCUAGGGCGUGGUGUUGGGGAUCGGCCAAAGCCCGCGAGGGACGGCCGGCCCCUAAAUCUUGUGGCGGACCCGUCGUGGCCUCCUCUGCGAAGUAGUGAUAUUCCGCAUCGGAGAGCGAUGAGCCCCUGCCGUUAAACCCCCAACUUUCCAAGGUUGACCUCAGAUCAGGUAGGAAUACCCGCUGAACUUAAGCAUAUCAAUAAGCGGAGGA